Molecule: transfer RNA, 76 nt
Filed under: Osteochilus nashii (Nash's barb)
Lineage: Eukaryota; Metazoa; Chordata; Actinopteri; Cypriniformes; Cyprinidae
Description: tRNA-Leu
Rfam family: tRNA
About the family: Transfer RNA (tRNA) molecules are approximately 80 nucleotides in length. Their secondary structure includes four short double-helical elements and three loops (D, anti-codon, and T loops).
Source: RNAcentral
ACUGGGGUGGCAGAGCAUGGUAAAUUGCAAAAGACCUAAGCCCUUUUAAUCAGAGGUUCAAAUCCUCUCUCCAGUU